GACGAACGCUGGCGGCGUGCUUAACACAUGCAAGUCGAACGGAAAGGCCCUGCUUUUGUGGGGUGCUCGAGUGGCGAACGGGUGAGUAACACGUGAGUAACCUGCCCUUGACUUUGGGAUAACUUCAGGAAACUGGGGCUAAUACCGGAUAGGAGCUCCUGCUGCAUGGUGGGGGUUGGAAAGUUUCGGCGGUUGGGGAUGGACUCGCGGCUUAUCAGCUUGUUGGUGGGGUAGUGGCUUACCAAGGCUUUGACGGGUAGCCGGCCUGAGAGGGUGACCGGCCACAUUGGGACUGAGAUACGACCCAUACUCCUACGGGAGGCAGCAGUGGGGAAUAGUGCACAAUGGGCGGAAGCCUGAUGCAGCAACGCCGCGUGCGGGAUGACGGCCUUCGGGUUGUAAACCGCUUUCGCCUGUGACGAAGAGUGAGUGACGGUAAUGGGUAAAGAAGCACCGGCUAACUACGUG
RNAcentral lists this ribosomal RNA (468 nucleotides) under uncultured bacterium. Its description in RNAcentral is "partial 16S ribosomal RNA". It matches the Rfam family "Bacterial small subunit ribosomal RNA", at positions 28 to 507 of the family's 1533-position model. The record is from RNAcentral.